Long non-coding RNA from Mustela lutreola (European mink), 1688 nucleotides. RefSeq lists it as uncharacterized. The record is from RefSeq and is a predicted model, not a curated record. NCBI's taxonomy places the organism in Eukaryota, Metazoa, Chordata, Mammalia, Carnivora, Mustelidae. The transcript has 2 exons.
CAUUGGGCAUAGAGGCUGCCUAAGAUUCUCUCUGCCCUCCCCUGCAAACCCCACUCGCAUGCGUGCACACAUGCUCUCCCUCCCUCCCUCUCAAAAAAAAAAAAAAAAAAGAUUAAUUGGUUCAGUAAGAAUCUGUUCUCUUUGUAAAAUGACACGGUUGGGUAAGUCCUAGGCUUGGCUUCCUAGCCUCAAGCUUUUUUAAAGUCCCAUCUGAGAUUCCUUAUCAAAAGUCCCAGCAAACCAGUCAGUCCCUAUUCUUGCUUGCUGCACUUGGGUAGCUAAUUAGGUCAACUGUAUUGAAACUGGAUUUACUUUGCAAACAAAUUAGUCUAUUGUCAUUAUCUCUGAUCAUAAUGGGAGCAAUGAGAAAAACUACCUUUCUGGAUACCUGGAUGGCUCAGUCAGUUAAGUGUCUGCCCAGGGUCCUGGGAUCGAGUCUGGAGUCAGGCUCCUUGCUCAGAGGGGAGCCUGCUGCUCCCUCUGCUUGUGCUUGCUCUCUAACAAAUGUAUAAAUAAAUAAAAUCUCUUUUUAAAAUUUGCCUUUCAGUAAGAUUCUAGUGCUGUUGUCUUUGAGGUUUAUUUUCUACCUGUAACUAGACUAGAUUCUGCAUUCUUCUGGUUUGUUCCAGUAUCUGGCUAGAACUCCCAAAACGAACACAUCCAGUUUUCUCCCACUCUUUUGACUUAGAAAUACUAUAAAACUAAAACUGCCGUUUUCCCCCAGAGCCAUGCAAGCUUAAAGCUGCACAGUUUGAUACAAACUUCAGAGAAAUCCUCACCACAGCUCAGCUGUCUCACUCACGUCCACACUGCAAACCAGGAAAACCUGUCCGACUCUCAUUGCUUGCCCCCACUCCAUCCGAACCCAACACUAGAAAUUUUCUCAACUGACAGCUCUGCAGUUUGCUGGAACUAUUUAUCUUUUGUUGCCGCUGAAAUGCAGCUUGUUAAACUACUUGUUGGCUCACAUUAUACAGAGACCUAAUUUAGGUGAAAGCUCAGCUGAAUCAGGGCAGGACGGAUAUGAGGGUGUUUCAAGAAAUCGUGAGGCCAUGGAUGCUAAUACAUCAUGUUGUGCCUGUAUAUCCAUCAUAUUCACCUCUCCGAUGCGUUCUCUGCUCUUGAGGGAUUUCAGUGCCUGGCACAGCCGCCGACAUACCAUGACCAGACAACGGGAUGAACGCAGCGGUAACCACAGGUACAGUGAAGAUGGGGACUGCACGGCGCUCCGGUCUGACAACUCAACUGGAUGAAAACUCUGAACACAUGAUUCUGUGGCGUGACUCAAACGGUGGUAACUGAGAACAACACUGUACUGGUUAAUAGUACUCUCAGCCUGCCAAGGAAGUGACCAAAAGGGGGCAGUUAUUAAAAACAAAUGGAGAACAAACAACCUUAAAAACUUCUUGGGCCGACAAAACCAGUUUAGUCAUACGCACUGAACUUACUUAGCAAGAUUAACCUGACCUGGGUCAUUUCUUGCUUACGAUUCCAAAAUUCAUAAGCAAAACUUGAAAUGUUUCCCUAAGUUGAUAAGAGGUGACCACUGACCACUUCCCUGUUAAUCACUGGGAAGAAUAAACAGUCAUGCUUUCCCACUACAAAGCUCUUUGAUAAUACACCCUUGAGCCUCAUUCCGUGGUUUGAAUGCUCCCAGUAUAUGCACAAUAAACUUUUACUAAUUACUA